Salvelinus sp. IW2-2015 is the source of this 226-nucleotide non-coding RNA. The record is from RefSeq and is a predicted model, not a curated record. Lineage: Eukaryota; Metazoa; Chordata; Actinopteri; Salmoniformes; Salmonidae.
AAAGGAAACUGUAGCGUUCUGCCACAAGGCUUCAUUAUCUUCCAGUCGGCUGGCUGCGCCUGGAGUGUCUGAAAAUGGACUCAUCAAAAGAGGUAGCUGCCUCUGAAAAGGAAAGGAAGCCAGCAGGGGAGAAGAGGGAAGAGCCGUCCAGCGAACUCCCCAGCACCUCUUCUGGAAUCCCCCCUUUGUCCCUGUUUUCCUGUCACGAGUGGCCUGGUAAUGAAAG